Molecule: ribosomal RNA, 976 nt
Filed under: Phakopsora phyllanthi
Lineage: Eukaryota; Fungi; Basidiomycota; Pucciniomycetes; Pucciniales; Phakopsoraceae
Description: eukaryotic LSU rRNA
Rfam family: Eukaryotic large subunit ribosomal RNA
Source: RNAcentral
AAGACCUCAAAUCAGGUGAGACUACCCGCUGAACUUAAGCAUAUCAAUAAGCGGAGGAAAAGAAACUAACAAGGAUUCCCCUAGUAACGGCGAGUGAAGAGGGAUGAGCCCAAAUUUGUAAUCUGGUUUUCUUUGAGGAUCAGAGUUGUAAUUUGAAGAGCUGUUUUCAGUGCUGGACUGUACAAAAGUUUGUUGGAAAACAACAUCAUUGAGGGUGAUAAUCCCGUUAAUGGUAUGGACUACCAGUGCAAUAUGAUACAGUUUCUAAGAGUCGAGUUGUUUGGGAAUGCAGCUCAAAGUGGGUGGUAAAUUCCAUCUAAGGCUAAAUAUUGAUGAGAGACCGAUAGCAAACAAGUACCGUGAGGGAAAGAUGAAAAGAACUUUGGAAAGAGAGUUAACAGUAUGUGAAAUUGUUAAAAGGGAAACACUUGAAGUUAGACUUGUUAUUGCCAGUUCAUUAACCUCUUUUGGGGGGAGUAUUCUGGUGGUUAACAGAUCAACAUCAGUUCUGAUUUUGUGCUGGAUAAGGGUUGUGGAAAUGUGGCAGUCUCUGACUGUGUUAUAGUCCAUGACUUUGAUAUGGUGCUUGGGACUGAGGUAUGCAGCAAGCUCUCUUUAGGGGGAGAGGAUUUACCUUGGUAGGUCUUCUUGCUGAGGAUGUUGAUGUAAUAGCUUUAAAUGACCCGUCUUGAAACACGGACCAAGGAGUCUAACAUGCCUGCGAGUAUUUGGGUGAUAGAAACCCUUAUGCGUAAUGAAAGUAAAUGUAAAUGGGAUCCAUUCAAAGGGAGCACCAUUGACCAGUCCUGAUUAUUUAUAUGACGGUACUGAGUAAGAGCAAGUAUGUUGGGACCCGAAAGAUGGUGAACUAUGCCUGAAUAGGGUGAAGCCAGAGGAAACUCUGGUGGAAGCUCGUAGCGGUUCUGACGUGCAAAUCGAUCGUCAAAUUUGGGUAUAGGGGCGAAAGACUAAUCGA